AUGAACGCUGGCGGCGUGCUUAACACAUGCAAGUCGAACGAUGAUCCCAGCUUGCUGGGGGAUUAGUGGCGAACGGGUGAGUAACACGUGAGUAACCUGCCCUUGACUCUGGGAUAAGCCUGGGAAACUGGGUCUAAUACCGGAUAUGACUCCUCAUCGCAUGGUGGGGGGUGGAAAGCUUUUGUGGUUUUGGAUGGACUCGCGGCCUAUCAGCUUGUUGGUGGGGUAAUGGCCUACCAAGGCGACGACGGGUAGCCGGCCUGAGAGGGUGACCGGCCACACUGGGACUGAGACACGGCCCAGACUCCUACGGGAGGCAGCAGUGGGGAAUAUUGCACAAUGGGCGCAAGCCUGAUGCAGCGACGCCGCGUGAGGGAUGACGGCCUUCGGGUUGUAAACCUCUUUCAGUAGGGAAGAAGCGUAAGUGACGGUACCUGCAGAAGAAGCGCCGGCUAACUACGU
RNAcentral lists this ribosomal RNA (462 nucleotides) under uncultured bacterium. Its description in RNAcentral is "bacterial SSU rRNA". It matches the Rfam family "Bacterial small subunit ribosomal RNA", at positions 29 to 506 of the family's 1533-position model. The record is from RNAcentral.